Molecule: ribosomal RNA, 293 nt
Filed under: Staphylococcus aureus
Lineage: Bacteria; Bacillati; Bacillota; Bacilli; Caryophanales; Staphylococcaceae
Description: partial 23S ribosomal RNA
Rfam family: Bacterial large subunit ribosomal RNA
Source: RNAcentral
GAAUACAUAGCAUAUCAGAAGGCACACCCGGAGAACUGAAACAUCUUAGUACCCGGAGGAAGAGAAAGAAAAUUCGAUUCCCUUAGUAGCGGCGAGCGAAACGGGAAGAGCCCAAACCAACAAGCUUGCUUGUUGGGGUUGUAGGAUACUCUAUACGGAGUUACAAAGGACGACAUUAGACGAAUCAUCUGGAAAGAUGAAUCAAAGAAGGUAAUAAUCCUGUAGUCGAAAAUGUUGUCUCUCUUGAGUGGAUCCUGAGUACGACGGAGCACGUGAAAUUCCGUCGGAAUCUG